GACGGAGGAUGCGAGCGUUAUCCGGAAUCAUUGGGCGUAAAGCGUCUGUAGGCGGCUAGAUAAGUCAGCUGUUAAAGCUUGCGGCUUAACCUUAGAAUCGCAUUCGAAACUAUUAGGCUAGAGUGGAGCAGGGGUUAAGGGAAUUUCCGGUGGAGCGGUGAAAUGCGUAGAGAUCGGAAAGAACACCUGUGGCGAAAGCGCUUAACUGGGCUAUAACUAACGCUGAGAUACGAAAGAUAGGGGAGCGAAUGGG
RNAcentral lists this ribosomal RNA (253 nucleotides) under uncultured bacterium. Its description in RNAcentral is "partial 16S ribosomal RNA". It matches the Rfam family "Bacterial small subunit ribosomal RNA", at positions 524 to 776 of the family's 1533-position model. The record is from RNAcentral.